Molecule: ribosomal RNA, 462 nt
Filed under: Triticum aestivum (bread wheat)
Lineage: Eukaryota; Viridiplantae; Streptophyta; Magnoliopsida; Poales; Poaceae
Description: partial small subunit ribosomal RNA
Source: RNAcentral
UUGGUCCAUAAGAAAGAUGUUCGUUAGAAUGACAAACCUCGCAUUUGGUAUGGUCCGAUGUUAAUCCGGGUUCAAGAGAGGAUAGCGAACCUGCACUUCAUCUACAAGUGCAAUGACACAGAGGCUCUGUGGAUGCUUUGAAUGAAAAGAACACCUUUCGCCAGGCUUGUGUAGAGUGUAUUCAUGAGCGGGGGGCUACUAGAAGAUAACAUCCACACCAAUGUGGAAGAUCAAGUAGCCAUGUUCCUCCAUGUUGUUGGUCAUAAUCAGAGGUUCAAAGUUGUACACAACACCUUCAGGAGAUCAAUGGAGACCAUCUCUAGGUACUUCAAGCAAGUGUUGUAUGUUGCUGGGGAACUUAGAGGAGAGAUGAUCGUGUCACCAACCGCCCGGACUCCUACCAAGAUUCACACUAGCCCAAGUUGGUAUCCAUACUUCAAGGUGAGCACUGACAUUAUGUAG